RNAcentral lists this long non-coding RNA (837 nucleotides) under Hordeum vulgare. Its description in RNAcentral is "long non-coding RNA (HVUL_LNC007419)". The record is from RNAcentral. Lineage: Eukaryota; Viridiplantae; Streptophyta; Magnoliopsida; Poales; Poaceae.
UUUAUUACAACGUAUGAUCCAGAAUUUAUAAAGUGUAACAAUCUACAUAGCACUUAGCUAGCUCUAAUAAAUAAUGGCAGCGGAAAGGUAGCAGAAAUAAUAACGAUGAGUCCCAUCAUAGCCCACCGGCGAAAAGGUUGAGUGAAGACUCGCGACCCUACUGUAUCUCACUGAUCAUCUGAAUAUCCUGCAACAUGAUAUGUUGCAGCCACAAGGGUCAAUACAUUGAAUGUAUUGGCAAUUCACACAAAAUGAUAAUGCAAACCUACGCAUAUAAGCAAUGUAUGACAAACAAAAAGUCAAGUUGGUUCGGCAUAAAUCUAACUUCACCUACCUCCAUGAACUAAUCAAGGUCUCACACGCCACAACCAAUUUAAACCCGCAAGAGAGAACUCACAAACCUACGGUGAGAUGACAAAGAUCUUCAAGAUGUAUCAAGUGCGCUCAGUCGAUGACGCAUUCAAUGGGGACUCCAAAGUGCUCAGCCAUCAACGCAUUCACCUGAUUUAAGUCCCGACAACUCAAGUGCGCUCAGUCAUGGCGCAUUCUCUAGGGACAAUAGAGCGCUCAGCCAUAGACGCAUUCACUCGAGCAAAAGCCCCGAGCCUACAGCUAUAAACUCUCACUACUUCAUAAAACACUCGGUACGAGUCCACGUCUACCAUAGCAUAUCCAAGCACACAAUUAAACAAUGCAAUCCAGGACACACAUAUAGCGACAAGCAAUAUAAGAAUCACACCAAACACAUAACAUAUCAUAGCAAUGCAAAGCAUACAUAUAGAUGAGCAUAAUCAAAAGUGCAAACUUGCCUUGAACGGUGUUGAAGUACUCUAACAC